This 807-nucleotide ribosomal RNA is filed under the name uncultured bacterium. Its description in RNAcentral is "bacterial SSU rRNA". It matches the Rfam family "Bacterial small subunit ribosomal RNA", at positions 8 to 796 of the family's 1533-position model. The record is from RNAcentral.
AGAGUUUGAUCCUGGCUCAGAGCGAACGUUAGCGGCACGCUUAACACAUGCAAGUCGCACGAGAAAGGGGGCAACCCUGAGUACAGUGGCGCACGGGUGCGUAACACGUAGAUAAUCUGCCCUUCGGCGGGGGACAACGUUCCGAAAGGAGCGCUAAUACCGCAUACAGCUGAGAGUGGUUUGCCACUUUCAGGCAAAGGUAGGGACCGGCAACGGCCUAUCGCCGGAGGAGGAGUCUGCGGCCCAUCAGCUAGUUGGGGAGGUAAUGGCUCACCAAGGCAGAGACGGGUAGCUGGUCUGAGAGGAUGAUCAGCCACACUGGUACUGGAACACGGACCAGACUCCUACGGGAGGCAGCAGUGGGGAAUCUUGGUCAAUGGGCGCAAGCCUGAACCAGCGAUGCCGCGUGAGUGAUGAAGGCCUUCGGGUUGUAAAGCUCUGUGGGGAGGGACGAAAGAAUCGGUUCUAACAGGACCGACGUUGACGGUACCUCCUUAGCAAGCACCGGCUAACUCUGUGCCAGCAGCCGCGGUAAGACAGAGGGUGCAAACGUUGCUCGGAAUUACUGGGCGUAAAGGGCGUGUAGGCGGGAAGGCGAGUCGGGCGUGAAAUCCCCAAGCUCAACUUGGGAACUGCACUCGAAACUGCCUUUCUUGAGUGCCGGAGAGGAAAGCGGAAUUCCUGGUGUAGAGGUGAAAUUCGUAGAUAUCAGGAGGAACACCAGUGGCGAAGGCGGCUUUCUGGACGGUUACUGACGCUGANNNGCGAAAGCGUGGGGAGAAACAGGAUUAGAUACCCCAGUAGUCC